RNAcentral lists this long non-coding RNA (1240 nucleotides) under Dromaius novaehollandiae (emu). RNAcentral describes it as "lncRNA (ENSDNVG00000004305.1)". Lineage: Eukaryota; Metazoa; Chordata; Aves; Casuariiformes; Dromaiidae. The record is from RNAcentral.
GUUUGGGGGGGGCCUGGGGGACCACACAACUCCUGUUAUUUGGGGUUUUUCCAGCUUUCUGGUCCCGAUUCCUCCCUCCUGUCUUGCCUGUUCCGCCCUGCACCAGCCMCUCCUGCUGCUAUUUCCAAGUUAGGGAAAGUGCCUGAAAUCAGGRCUUUCCUCCCCACGGGGCCAGGGUUUAAGUCAGGCAUUUGCAGGGAAGCGCAGGGGAGCAGGGCUUGGGGGGGGGAACUUUGCGCGUCCAGCAGACGCGCAUCCCCCCAUCGCUCUGCGCUCCGUGGCCCUGGCUGCCGCCGCUCCGAACAAGACGUUCGAGAUAGUCUCUGGCGCGUUUUGGGUUUUUUUCCCCCUCCGGGAGGGGAAAGUGUUUCGAUUCGGGGGGGCAAAACUCGACGAUGCGGGGAGCGAGCGCCGCCGCGGUACCAGGCGCCGGAGCAGCUCCGGAGGGGGCUCAGCUUUAUUGGCGGAGUUGCUUGUUCGGACCAGUCGCUCCACGUUUCUCCGGCUACAUCACCAYCGGGGCGGGGUCCUCGGUGCCCCCCAGGCCUUCGGGCUCCAACCGCGCGGAUCCGACCUCACCUCGCUGCGUCCGAGCCGGGAGCCGGGGCCGGAGGCGCCCCGGGCGCAGGGAGGGUGCCGGUCCUUGCCGUCGGGACACGCGGGACCAGCGCCUGCUCUCACUGCUCCUCCUUCUCCUCCUCCUCCUCCUCGGGGAGCUUCUUGCGGGUGAAGAAGCCCAGCUGGGGCGAGAGGGAGAGGAUGGAGGCGAGGAAGGGCCGCGGGCACCCACCGCCCAGCCUGGCCCAGCCCCGCUCUCACCUUCCACAGGCAGAAGAUGAUCAGCGCCAGCAGCAGCAGCCCCCCGAYGAUGCUGCCCACCAGGAUCCAGAGCGAGACGGAUGACGCUGAUGGCCGGCGGCUCCACCGUCAGCGACGCGUUGACCUGGACGAUCUGGCGGGAGCUGGCGGCGGGAGCCGGGGGUCAGAGCCCCGUCCGAGGGCAGGGAAGCCUCGCGGCCGAGCCCGGUGGUGCCGCCAUCCCCGCCAGGCGCCCGGACUCACCGCAGGACCACGGCCACCCCCUGCGCCCCCACGGCCAGGUCCACCAGYCCGUCGCCGUCCAGGUCCAUCUGCCCGUCCAGGCUGCGCCCGAAAUAGCUGAGAUCCUGGCUCAGCGCCGCUGCCUCGAUGCGCUGGGGAGGCGAGAAUGGGGGCCAUUGUGGCUUCUCUGGUGUCUCGU